Molecule: ribosomal RNA, 253 nt
Filed under: uncultured bacterium
Lineage: Bacteria
Description: partial 16S ribosomal RNA
Rfam family: Bacterial small subunit ribosomal RNA
Source: RNAcentral
UACGUAGGGUGCGAGCGUUAAUCGGAAUUACUGGACGUAAAGCGUGCGUAGGCGGUUCCUCAAGUCCGUUGUGAAAGCCCCGGGCUCAACCUGGGAAUGGCAGUGGAAACUAGGGGACUGGAAUCUGGCAGAGGGGGGUGGAAUUCCGCGUGUAGCAGUGAAAUGCGUAGAGAUGCGGAGGAACACCGAUGGCGAAGGCAGCCCCCUGGGCUAGCACUGACGCUCAGGCACGAAAGCGUGGGGAGCAAACAGG